This 423-nucleotide ribosomal RNA is filed under the name Escherichia coli. RNAcentral describes it as "bacterial SSU rRNA". It matches the Rfam family "Bacterial small subunit ribosomal RNA", at positions 851 to 1274 of the family's 1533-position model. The record is from RNAcentral. Lineage: Bacteria; Pseudomonadati; Pseudomonadota; Gammaproteobacteria; Enterobacterales; Enterobacteriaceae.
GCUAACGCGUUAAGUCGACCGCCUGGGGAGUACGGCCGCAAGGUUAAAACUCAAAUGAAUUGACGGGGGCCCGCACAAGCGGUGGAGCAUGUGGUUUAAUUCGAUGCAACGCGAAGAACCUUACCUGGUCUUGACAUCCACGGAAGUUUUCAGAGAUGAGAAUGUGCCUUCGGGAACCGUGAGACAGGUGCUGCAUGGCUGUCGUCAGCUCGUGUUGUGAAAUGUUGGGUUAAGUCCCGCAACGAGCGCAACCCUUAUCCUUUGUUGCCAGCGGUCCGGCCGGGAACUCAAAGGAGACUGCCAGUGAUAAACUGGAGGAAGGUGGGGAUGACGUCAAGUCAUCAUGGCCCUUACGACCAGGGCUACACACGUGCUACAAUGGCGCAUACAAAGAGAAGCGACCUCGCGAGAGCAAGCGGACCU